Molecule: ribosomal RNA, 480 nt
Filed under: uncultured bacterium
Lineage: Bacteria
Description: partial 16S ribosomal RNA
Rfam family: Bacterial small subunit ribosomal RNA
Source: RNAcentral
GACGAACGCUGGCGGCGUGCUUAACACAUGCAAGUCGAACGAUGAAGUUCCUUCGGGAAUGGAUUAGUGGCGAACGGGUGAGGAACACGUGAGAAACCUGCCUUUCAUUUUGGGAUAACUCCGGGAAACCGGGGCUAAAACCGAAUACUCCGUCUCGGCGGCAUCGCUGAGCCGGGAAAAAAUUUUGAUGAAAGAUGGUCUCGCGGCCUAUCAGCUAGUUGGGGAGGUAAUGGCUAACCAAGGCAACGACGGGUAGCCGGCCUGAGAGGGCGACCGGCCACACUGGGACUGAGACACGGCCCAGACUCCUACGGGAGGCAGCAGUGGGGAAUAUUGGGCAAUGGGCGCAAGCCUGACCCAGCGACGCCGCGUGAGGGAUGAAGGCCUUCGGGUUAUAAACCUCUUUCAGUAGGGAAGAAGCGAAAGUGACGGUACCUAAAGAAGAAGCACCGGCUAACUAUGUGCCAGCCGCCGCGGUAA